GUGAACGCUGGCGGUAGGCCUAACACAUGCAAGUCGAACGGCAGCACAGUAAGAGCUUGCUCUUACGGGUGGCGAGUGGCGGACGGGUGAGGAAUACAUCGGAAUCUACUUUUUCGUGGGGGAUAACGUAGGGAAACUUACGCUAAUACCACAUACGACCUACGGGUGAAAGCAGGGGAUCUUCGGACCUUGCGCGAUUGAAUGAGCCGAUGUCGGAUUAGCUAGUUGGCGGGGUAAAGGCCCACCAAGGCGACGAUCCGUAGCUGGUCUGAGAGGAUGAUCAGCCACACUGGAACUGAGACACGGUCCAGACUCCUACGGGAGGCAGCAGUGGGGAAUAUUGGACAAUGGGCGCAAGCCUGAUCCAGCCAUACCGCGUGGGUGAAGAAGGCCUUCGGGUUGUAAAGCCCUUUUGUUGGGAAAGAAAAGCAGCAGGUUAAUACCCCGCUGUUCUGACGGUACCCAAAGAAUAAGCACCGGCUAACUUCGUG
RNAcentral lists this ribosomal RNA (491 nucleotides) under uncultured bacterium. RNAcentral describes it as "partial 16S ribosomal RNA". It matches the Rfam family "Bacterial small subunit ribosomal RNA", at positions 29 to 507 of the family's 1533-position model. The record is from RNAcentral.